RNAcentral lists this ribosomal RNA (673 nucleotides) under Paenibacillus polymyxa. RNAcentral's name for it is "partial 23S ribosomal RNA". It matches the Rfam family "Bacterial large subunit ribosomal RNA", at positions 2246 to 2925 of the family's 2925-position model. The record is from RNAcentral. RNAcentral also lists the same sequence under 1 other name. Lineage: Bacteria; Bacillati; Bacillota; Bacilli; Caryophanales; Paenibacillaceae.
CGAGGACAGUGUCAGGUGGGCAGUUUGACUGGGGCGGUCGCCUCCUAAAGAGUAACGGAGGCGCCCCAAGGUUCCCUCAGAAUGGUUGGAAAUCAUUCGAAGAGUGCAAAGGCAGAAGGGAGCUUGACUGCGAGACCUACAAGUCGAGCAGGGACGAAAGUCGGGCUUAGUGAUCCGGUGGUACCGCAUGGAAGGGCCAUCGCUCAACGGAUAAAAGCUACCCUGGGGAUAACAGGCUUAUCUCCCCCAAGAGUCCACAUCGACGGGGAGGUUUGGCACCUCGAUGUCGGCUCAUCGCAUCCUGGGGCUGAAGUAGGUCCCAAGGGUUGGGCUGUUCGCCCAUUAAAGCGGUACGCGAGCUGGGUUCAGAACGUCGUGAGACAGUUCGGUCCCUAUCUGUCGUGGGCGUAGGAAAUUUGAGAGGAGCUGUCCUUAGUACGAGAGGACCGGGAUGGACGUACCGCUGGUGUACCAGUUGUUCCGCCAGGAGCACCGCUGGGUAGCUAUGUACGGAAGGGAUAAGCGCUGAAAGCAUCUAAGCGUGAAGCCCCCCUCAAGAUGAGAUUUCCCAGUAUGUAAGACCCCUUGAAGACGACGAGGUAGAUAGGUUGGGGGUGGAAGUGCAGUAAUGCAUGGAGCUGACCAAUACUAAUCGGUCGAGGGCUUAUCCUAA